This 786-nucleotide ribosomal RNA is filed under the name uncultured archaeon. RNAcentral describes it as "bacterial SSU rRNA". It matches the Rfam family "Archaeal small subunit ribosomal RNA", at positions 85 to 876 of the family's 1478-position model. The record is from RNAcentral.
ACGGCUCAGUAACACGUGGACAAUCUAACCUAUGGAAGGGGAUAACCCCGGGAAACUGGGGAUAAUACCCUAUAGACUAUGGAUGCUGGAAUGCUCUGUAGUUGAAAGGUCCGCCGCCAUAGGAUGGGUCUGCGGCCGAUUAGGUUGUUGUUGGGGUAACGGCCCAACAAGCCUGUAAUCGGUACGGGUUGUGGGAGCAAGAGCCCGGAGAUGGAUUCUGAGACACGAAUCCAGGCCCUACGGGGCGCAGCAGGCGCGAAAACUUUGCAAUGCGGGAAACCGUGACAGGGGAACUCCGAGUGCCCGUUAAAUCGGGCUGUCCACCAGUUUAAAUAACUGGUGAAGAAAGGGCCGGGCAAGACCGGUGCCAGCCGCCGCGGUAAUACCGGCGGCUCGAGUGGUGGCCACUAUUACUGGGCUUAAAGCGUUCGUAGCUGGUUUGUUAAGUCUCUGGGGAAAUCUUCCGGCUUAACCGGAAGGCGUCUCAGGGAUACUGGCAGACUAGGGACCGGGAGAGGUGAGGGGUACUCCAGGGGUAGGAGUGAAAUCCUGUAAUCCUUGGGGGACCACCUGUGGCGAAGGCGCCUCACCAGAACGGCUCCGACAGUGAGGGACGAAAGCUGGGGGAGCAAACCGGAUUAGAUACCCGGGUAGUCCCAGCUGUAAACGAUGCGCGUUAGGUGUAUCGGUGACCACGAGUCACCGAGGUGCCGAAGAGAAAUCGUGAAACGUGCCGCCUGGGAAGUACGGUCGCAAGGCUGAAACUUAAAGGAAUUGGCGGGGGAG